Molecule: ribosomal RNA, 731 nt
Filed under: uncultured Campylobacter sp.
Lineage: Bacteria; Pseudomonadati; Campylobacterota; Epsilonproteobacteria; Campylobacterales; Campylobacteraceae
Description: bacterial SSU rRNA
Rfam family: Bacterial small subunit ribosomal RNA
Source: RNAcentral
AGUGAACGCUGGCGGCGUGCCUAAUACAUGCAAGUCGAACGGACGAGUAAGAGCUUGCUCUUAUGAGUUAGUGGCGCACGGGUGAGUAAUGUAUAGCUAAUCUGCCCUACACUAGAGGACAACAGUUGGAAACGACUGCUAAUACUCUAUACUCCUCUCUAGCAUAAGUUAGAUAGGGAAAGUUCUUCGGUGUAGGAUGAGGCUAUAUUGUAUCAGCUAGUUGGUGAGGUAAUGGCUCACCAAGGCUAUGACGCAUAACUGGUCUGAGAGGAUGAUCAGUCACACUGGAACUGAGACACGGUCCAGACUCCUACGGGAGGCAGCAGUAGGGAAUAUUGCUCAAUGGGGGAAACCCUGAAGCAGCAACGCCGCGUGGAGGAUGACACUUUUCGGAGCGUAAACUCCUUUUGUUAGGGAAGAACAAUGACGGUACCUAACGAAUAAGCACCGGCUAACUCCGUGCCAGCAGCCGCGGUAAUACGGAGGGUGCAAGCGUUACUCGGAAUCACUGGGCGUAAAGGACGCGUAGGCGGAUUAUCAAGUCUCUUGUGAAAUCCUAUGGCUUAACCAUAGAACUGCUUGGGAAACUGAUAAUCUAGAGUGAGGGAGAGGCAGAUGGAAUUGGUGGUGUAGGGGUAAAAUCCGUAGAGAUCACCAGGAAUACCCAUUGCGAAGGCGAUCUGCUGGAACUCAACUGACGCUAAUGCGUGAAAGCGUGGGGAGCAAACAGG